Carassius auratus (goldfish) is the source of this 1675-nucleotide long non-coding RNA. NCBI's taxonomy places the organism in Eukaryota, Metazoa, Chordata, Actinopteri, Cypriniformes, Cyprinidae. The record is from Ensembl.
UGGUUGUUGGUUAAAAAAAAGCACAAGUGAGAUCAUUUUCUCUCAUUUCCCAUUUGAAGGACGACACAGUAGAAGGCAAAAGAUGUGUGGCGUAGAUGAAAAUGCAACUUCCUGUUAAGAAAGGGCCUUAACGCAAAGCUGAAGAGGAGAGUGUCUCUGACACUGCUCUGCUGUCUCUAGACCCCUAAAAACAGCUUAAGGAUUUUUUUUGAAGGUGAAAACUCUCCGGCAACUGAACCGACCGAUUAGACGCACGAGAACACGACAUAUGGUGUCUUAGAAACGGCUUUUGAACUCUUGGAUAUGGCGAGAUUUUUUACGCUAGGACCCUUGGUUUUGGUCCUAUGCUUGGUCUUAUACCCCCCAAACUCACAGACUGAAGGAGACAACAAACCAAAGACAGAUGUCAGUGCUGACCAAUCAAAGAACGCCACACCUCCCACUGCUCACAUCCCUACAUUACCUACCACUAAAGACCCCUCAAACUCACAGACUGAAGGAGACAACAAACCAAAGACAGGUGUCAGUGCUGACCAAUCAAAGAACACCACACCACCCACUGCUCACACCCCUACAUUACCUACCACUAAAGACCCCUCAAACUCACAGACUGAAGGAGACAACAAACCAAAGACAGGUGUCAGUGCUGACCAAUCAAAGAACGCCACACCUCCCACUGCUCACAUCCCUACAUUACCUACCACUAAAGGUAACCACGACAACACGCAUCACCACAGCACACACACACUCCAGCAUUAUACAGUAUCUCUCUCACACUCAUCACUCAUGACCUCUGACCUCCAUCCUCCCAUCAUGUACACUGUGAACUCUCCUUCAGAAUCACAUCUUCAGUGCUGCGCUCAUGAGCAGUGUUAUACUUUUAUAAUGUUGCUAAUCUUUAUUUAUAAGAAAGUGUUUCCUAUAAGAAUCCCAUAAUAACUGUUCUGCAGGUUGAUGUCUUCACAUGAUAAACAGAUAAGGGUCAAAAUAAUAUUGACCAACAGCCAAGGCAUUAUUUUUGAUGAAUGUUGCAAAUAAUACAAAUACUGAAUGGCAUUUCAUGUUGAGUUUAAAGUCUGUAAACAUAAGUUAUUUCAAAUGAAUAUGUGACCUCUAUCCUGUGACACAGUCUACAUUAGAACCAGUAAAGAAGCGCUUGGGUUACUUGUAGGUGAAUAGAUGUAGCUCGUCUUUCAAUAAUCAGUCAUAUUCAUUAGAUUCUGGAAACAUUCACAUUAUAGAAAAGUGUUUUUUAUAUAAUCUAUAACAAAGGUCAUUUUUAUUGAAUUAUAGGUAACUUCACAAAUAGAUCUAGAAAAAAAAAAAAAAAAAACAUUGAUUGUGAUGUUACUUGUGUGUAUUUACUGAAAUAGCUUUAUAAUAUAGAAAUAUUUAGCAGUAUCUAGUAGUCACACUUAGAAAGUUUGAUCCUUUAUUGUACAGACAUGUACAAUUUUUAUUGUAUUUUUUUUUUCCUCUGAGAACAGAGUUUAGAAUAACACUCACCUCUAACAGGUAAUGAAGUGCCCAGAUUACUUGUAAAUGAGUUAGUUUGAGUUAUUAUUAUUAUUAUUAUUAUUAUUAUUAUUAUUAUUAUUAUUAUUGUAAUAUUAUUAUUUAAUUUUUUUCGUAUUCUCAAAAUCCCAUUUCUAAAAAUUCGUAAACAUGGUUUCUC